UGAGCAAUCUGCCCUUCCCUUUGGAAUAAGCGUUGGAAACGACGUCUAAUGCCGAAUACGACCUCCUUUCGCAUGAUCGGAGGUGGAAAGCUCCGGCGGAGAAGGAUGAGCUCGCGGCCUAUCAGCUAGUUGGUGUGGGUAAUGGCCCACCAAGGCGACGACGGGUAGCCGGCCUGAGAGGGUGACCGGCCACACUGGGGCUGAGACACGGCCCAGACUCCUACGGGAGGCAGCAGG
This 237-nucleotide ribosomal RNA is filed under the name uncultured bacterium. Its description in RNAcentral is "partial 16S ribosomal RNA". It matches the Rfam family "Bacterial small subunit ribosomal RNA", at positions 118 to 354 of the family's 1533-position model. The record is from RNAcentral.